This is a small nuclear RNA of Mustela erminea (ermine), 138 nucleotides long. RefSeq annotates it as U4 spliceosomal RNA. NCBI's taxonomy places the organism in Eukaryota, Metazoa, Chordata, Mammalia, Carnivora, Mustelidae. The transcript has a single exon. The record is from RefSeq and is a predicted model, not a curated record.
AGCUUUGCGCAGUGGCAGUAUCGUAGCCAAUGAGGUUUAUCUGAGGCGCGAUUAUUGCUAAUUGAAGAAAUUAAAAAUAGAACUUCCCUAUGACCCUGCCAUUGCACUCCUGGGUAUUUACCCCAAAGAUACAGAUGU